Molecule: unclassified non-coding RNA, 298 nt
Filed under: plant metagenome
Description: partial contains 5.8S ribosomal RNA, internal transcribed spacer 2, and large subunit ribosomal RNA
Rfam family: 5.8S ribosomal RNA (bases 1-105)
Source: RNAcentral
GAAAUGCGAUAAGUAAUGUGAAUUGCAGAAUUCAGUGAAUCAUCGAAUCUUUGAACGCACAUUGCGCCCCCUGGUAUUCCGGGGGGCAUGCCUGUUCGAGCGUCAUUUCACCACUCAAGCCUCGCUUGGUAUUGGGCAACGCGGUCCGCCGCGUGCCUCAAAUCGACCGGCUGGGUCUUCUGUCCCCUAAGCGUUGUGGAAACUAUUCGCUAAAGGGUGUUCGGGAGGCUACGCCGUAAAACAACCCCAUUUCUAAGGUUGACCUCGGAUCAGGUAGGGAUACCCGCUGAACUUACGC